Small nuclear RNA from Lynx canadensis (Canada lynx), 216 nucleotides. Its record names the gene U4. It matches the Rfam family "U4 spliceosomal RNA". Rfam says of the family: U4 small nuclear RNA (U4 snRNA) is a component of the major U2-dependent spliceosome. The record is from Ensembl. NCBI's taxonomy places the organism in Eukaryota, Metazoa, Chordata, Mammalia, Carnivora, Felidae.
AGCUUGGUGCAGUGGCAGUAUCGUAGCCAAUGAGGUUUAUCCGAGGCGUGAUUAUUGCUAAUUGAAUGGAGAGUAGACAGGUAUAGAGGUGAGGAAAGAAUAUUCUAGGUGGAGGGAGUACUCUGAGGAGAGGCAUUGGAAAUAGGACUCUGGACUAUGGGUUUGGUUAAAAAAAUUUUUGGUUUAACCAAAAAAAUUUGGCUUAAAAAAAUUGUU